GACGAACGCUGGCGGCGUGCUUAACACAUGCAAGUCGAACGGAUCGGCAGGAGCUUGCUUCUGUCGGUUAGUGGCGAACGGGUGAGUAACACGUGAGCAAUCUGCCCUUGACUCUGGGAUAACUGCGGGAAACUGUAGCUAAUACCGGAUAUGACGCGCGAAGGCAUCUUCUGCGCGUGGAAAGAAUUUCGGUCAGGGAU
Molecule: ribosomal RNA, 200 nt
Filed under: uncultured bacterium
Lineage: Bacteria
Description: partial 16S ribosomal RNA
Rfam family: Bacterial small subunit ribosomal RNA
Source: RNAcentral